Molecule: ribosomal RNA, 2672 nt
Filed under: Klebsiella pneumoniae
Lineage: Bacteria; Pseudomonadati; Pseudomonadota; Gammaproteobacteria; Enterobacterales; Enterobacteriaceae
Description: partial 23S ribosomal RNA
Rfam family: Bacterial large subunit ribosomal RNA
Source: RNAcentral
CACUAUCGUUAACUGAAUACAUAGGUUAACGAGGCGAACCGGGGGAACUGAAACAUCUAAGUACCCCGAGGAAAAGAAAUCAACCGAGAUUCCCCCAGUAGCGGCGAGCGAACGGGGAGCAGCCCAGAGUCUGAAUCAGCUUGUGUGUUAGUGGAACGGUCUGGAAAGUCCGACGGUACAGGGUGAUAGUCCCGUACACCAAAAUGCACAGGCUGUGAACUCGAAGAGUAGGGCGGGACACGUGGUAUCCUGUCUGAAUAUGGGGGGACCAUCCUCCAAGGCUAAAUACUCCUGACUGACCGAUAGUGAACCAGUACCGUGAGGGAAAGGCGAAAAGAACCCCGGCGAGGGGAGUGAAAAAGAACCUGAAACCGUGUACGUACAAGCAGUGGGAGCACCUUCGGGUGUGACUGCGUACCUUUUGUAUAAUGGGUCAGCGACUUAUAUUCUGUAGCAAGGUUAACCGUAUAGGGGAGCCGCAGGGAAACCGAGUCUUAACUGGGCGUUAAGUUGCAGGGUAUAGACCCGAAACCCGGUGAUCUAGCCAUGGGCAGGUUGAAGGUUGGGUAACACUAACUGGAGGACCGAACCGACUAAUGUUGAAAAAUUAGCGGAUGACUUGUGGCUGGGGGUGAAAGGCCAAUCAAACCGGGAGAUAGCUGGUUCUCCCCGAAAGCUAUUUAGGUAGCGCCUCGUGAAUUCAUCUUCGGGGGUAGAGCACUGUUUCGGCUAGGGGGUCAUCCCGACUUACCAACCCGAUGCAAACUACGAAUACCGAAGAAUGUUAUCACGGGAGACACACGGCGGGUGCUAACGUCCGUCGUGAAGAGGGAAACAACCCAGACCGCCAGCUAAGGUCCCAAAGUCAUGGUUAAGUGGGAAACGAUGUGGGAAGGCACAGACAGCCAGGAUGUUGGCUUAGAAGCAGCCAUCAUUUAAAGAAAGCGUAAUAGCUCACUGGUCGAGUCGGCCUGCGCGGAAGAUGUAACGGGGCUAAACCAUGCACCGAAGCUGCGGCAGCGACACUAUGUGUUGUUGGGUAGGGGAGCGUUCUGUAAGCCUGCGAAGGUGACCUGUGAGGGUUGCUGGAGGUAUCAGAAGUGCGAAUGCUGACAUAAGUAACGAUAAAGCGGGUGAAAAGCCCGCUCGCCGGAAGACCAAGGGUUCCUGUCCAACGUUAAUCGGGGCAGGGUGAGUCGACCCCUAAGGCGAGGCCGAAAGGCGUAGUCGAUGGGAAACAGGUUAAUAUUCCUGUACUUGGUGUUACUGCGAAGGGGGGACGGAGAAGGCUAUGUUAGCCGGGCGACGGUUGUCCCGGUUUAAGCAUGUAGGCUGGUUGUCCAGGCAAAUCCGGAUAAUCAAGGCUGAGGUGUGAUGACGAGGCACUACGGUGCUGAAGUAACAAAUGCCCUGCUUCCAGGAAAAGCCUCUAAGCAUCAGGUAACAUCAAAUCGUACCCCAAACCGACACAGGUGGUCAGGUAGAGAAUACCAAGGCGCUUGAGAGAACUCGGGUGAAGGAACUAGGCAAAAUGGUGCCGUAACUUCGGGAGAAGGCACGCUGGUGUGUAGGUGAAGUCCCUGCGGAUGGAGCUGAGACCAGUCGAAGAUACCAGCUGGCUGCAACUGUUUAUUAAAAACACAGCACUGUGCAAACACGAAAGUGGACGUAUACGGUGUGACGCCUGCCCGGUGCCGGAAGGUUAAUUGAUGGGGUUAUCCGUAAGGAGAAGCUCUUGAUCGAAGCCCCGGUAAACGGCGGCCGUAACUAUAACGGUCCUAAGGUAGCGAAAUUCCUUGUCGGGUAAGUUCCGACCUGCACGAAUGGCGUAAUGAUGGCCAGGCUGUCUCCACCCGAGACUCAGUGAAAUUGAACUCGCUGUGAAGAUGCAGUGUACCCGCGGCAAGACGGAAAGACCCCGUGAACCUUUACUAUAGCUUGACACUGAACAUUGAGCCUUGAUGUGUAGGAUAGGUGGGAGGCUUUGAAGCGUGGACGCCAGUCUGCGUGGAGCCAACCUUGAAAUACCACCCUUUAAUGUUUGAUGUUCUAACGUUGGCCCCUGACCGGGGUUGCGGACAGUGUCUGGUGGGUAGUUUGACUGGGGCGGUCUCCUCCCAAAGCGUAACGGAGGAGCACGAAGGUUAGCUAAUCCUGGUCGGACAUCAGGAGGUUAGUGCAAUGGCAUAAGCUAGCUUGACUGCGAGCGUGACGGCGCGAGCAGGUGCGAAAGCAGGUCAUAGUGAUCCGGUGGUUCUGAAUGGAAGGGCCAUCGCUCAACGGAUAAAAGGUACUCCGGGGAUAACAGGCUGAUACCGCCCAAGAGUUCAUAUCGACGGCGGUGUUUGGCACCUCGAUGUCGGCUCAUCACAUCCUGGGGCUGAAGUAGGUCCCAAGGGUAUGGCUGUUCGCCAUUUAAAGUGGUACGCGAGCUGGGUUUAGAACGUCGUGAGACAGUUCGGUCCCUAUCUGCCGUGGGCGCUGGAGAAUUGAGGGGGGCUGCUCCUAGUACGAGAGGACCGGAGUGGACGCAUCACUGGUGUUCGGGUUGUCAUGCCAAUGGCACUGCCCGGUAGCUAAAUGCGGAAGAGAUAAGUGCUGAAAGCAUCUAAGCACGAAACUUGCCCCGAGAUGAGUUCUCCCUGAGACUUUAAGUCUCCUGAAGGAACGUU